CGGGACGGGUGAGUAAUGUAUGGGGAUCUGCCUGAUGGCGGGGGAUAACUACUGGAAACGGUAGCUAAUACCGCAUAACGUCGCAAGACCAAAGAGGGGGACCUUCGGGCCUCUUGCCAUCGGAUGUGCCCAUAUGGGAUUAGCUAGUAGGUAAGGUAACGGCUUACCUAGGCGACGAUCCCUAGCUGGUCUGAGAGGAUGAUCAGCCACACUGGGACUGAGACACGGCCCAG
Molecule: ribosomal RNA, 233 nt
Filed under: uncultured bacterium
Lineage: Bacteria
Description: partial 16S ribosomal RNA
Rfam family: Bacterial small subunit ribosomal RNA
Source: RNAcentral